This 510-nucleotide ribosomal RNA is filed under the name Triticum aestivum (bread wheat). Its description in RNAcentral is "partial small subunit ribosomal RNA". The record is from RNAcentral. Lineage: Eukaryota; Viridiplantae; Streptophyta; Magnoliopsida; Poales; Poaceae.
AUGUACUACAUACUGUACAAGGCCAGCCAAUUAAGUCCUGCAACAGAAUACAUGGAACCCAAGAGAAAGAAAGGAAAAAAAAAUAUGCAUGCACAAGGACGUGUACAAAGUCCAUACAGGAAGAAUUGUUUGCUCGAUCGGCCGUCAGACUCUGAGCAGGUAGAUGCUGAGCUCGGGUCCUCCGCUGCCGUCGGGGUUCAUCAUGUAGAACGCCUCCGAGUCCCUCGAUCCGACGACCCGCUCGAACUUGGCGCGCAUGUACAUCAGAUCGCCCUCGCCGGCGCCGCCUGCGGCCCCGGCGGCACCGUCGUCCGGGAGCACGCCGGCGCCGACGGACACCUGCUCCACGGCGCCCAGCACGCGCCACUCGUCGGCGCCGCACUCGCGGUGCACCGCGUAGCCGCACUUGAGCCCGUUGCAGUACGCGCGCCACGUCGGCUCCUCCAGCAGCGGCCGCCGCUUCUCCCCUGCACGUGCUUGCGGGUUAAUCUGUGUGGCCUUGGCGCUUGA